Molecule: ribosomal RNA, 240 nt
Filed under: uncultured bacterium
Lineage: Bacteria
Description: partial 16S ribosomal RNA
Rfam family: Bacterial small subunit ribosomal RNA
Source: RNAcentral
GAUCCUGGCUCAGGAUGAACGCUGGCGGCGUGCUUAACACAUGCAAGUCGAACGAAGCACUUUUACAGAUUUCUUCGGAAUGAAGUUUUAGUGACUGAGUGGGCGGACGGGUGAGUAACGCGUGGGUAACCUGCCUCACACAGGGGGAUAACAGUUGGAAACGGCUGCUAAUACCGCAUAAGCGCACAGUACCGCAUGGUACAGUGUUAAACACCGUCGGUGUGUAGAUGGACCGGCCGU